GGAAGAUUUGAAGAGUAUGUAUCGACUACAGACAAUGGGUAAUGAGGAUGAACACUCUAUAGAAGAGCUGCGAGAAUUUCAAAACCGUUACAAAAAGGAUUGACUAAAAUAAAAUGGAUCAUUCUGUAGAAGAGCCGCGAGAAUUCCAAAGUUGUUAUGCGGUGGGUGGGGGGGCGGCGGCGACCAACAAAGAAGGGGAGGGGGGAAGAAGAAAAAGGAAUUUCGAAGGAGAGGGAAUAAUUAGGAGGGAACACUGUAGACUGGGAGGGAGUUAAGGAGUAGAAGGGGAAUCAACAUGGCCUAUCUCCGCCUGCAAACCAGGAAGAUAAGUUCAUUUUAGCCCCUUUUCGACCUGAAUUUGAAUUAGAGUGUAUGUAAAUUCAUUAAAUCACAUUGGGAGGAUUUGAAAUAGAGUCUCCGGAGAUAUAUGGAAGCAGGCUAUACGGAAACUUAACAGUAAGUGUAAAAUGCAUAUAUGUGUACUGUUAUGUAUUACAUUAUCAGGAUAUCACUGUGGUUAUGAGCGAAUGAUAGGCUGAAGGAGAGGACUCAGGUGAGGCUAAUAGAUUGAGGUUCUAAGCGUAAAACUGGCUAACAUCUGAGAGUGAAUUUCUGAGGUGUGUAAUAGCUAGGGAAGGGAAAAGUUGGAAAUAGAUAAAGAGAGCACCGAAUGAGAGAUGAGUAUUACAGAGAGGGACAGAAAGGGAUUUUGGGUAGGCAUAAGCAUGAACAAAAUUUGAUAAUUGAUACAGAUGAGAAAUUUACUGGAUGAUAGGUUAGCUGGGACAGUUUUGAGAUGAGUUGGAGCACUUUUAGGUGAACCAUACAUUUCAAUGACCAAAAACCAGUGAAUAAGAGUGAGGAUAGAAUAGUAAUAAUGAUGAAUGGGCAUGAAAAGACUUGAAUAUGGCGUCGUAAAUGACGGAUGGUAGUGUGGGUUAAUGAAGACACUGAUGGCAG
Molecule: long non-coding RNA, 960 nt
Filed under: Carica papaya (papaya)
Lineage: Eukaryota; Viridiplantae; Streptophyta; Magnoliopsida; Brassicales; Caricaceae
Description: long non-coding RNA (CPAP_LNC015753)
Source: RNAcentral